UACGGAGGGGGUUAGCGUUGUUCGGAAUGACUGGGCGUAAAGCGCGCGUAGGCGGAUCGGAAAGUUGGGGGUGAAAUCCCGGGGCUCAACCCCGGAAUGGCCUUCAAAACUCCCGGUCUUGAGUUCGAGAGAGGUGAGUGGAAUUCCGAGUGUAGAGGUGAAAUUCGUAGAUAUUCGCAAGAACACCAGUGGCGAGGGCGGCUCACUGGCCCGGUACUGACGCUGAGGUGCGAAAGCGUGGGGAGCAAACAGG
Molecule: ribosomal RNA, 253 nt
Filed under: uncultured bacterium
Lineage: Bacteria
Description: partial 16S ribosomal RNA
Rfam family: Bacterial small subunit ribosomal RNA
Source: RNAcentral